This 1975-nucleotide ribosomal RNA is filed under the name Streptococcus pneumoniae. RNAcentral describes it as "partial 23S ribosomal RNA". It matches the Rfam family "Bacterial large subunit ribosomal RNA", at positions 1 to 1984 of the family's 2925-position model. Lineage: Bacteria; Bacillati; Bacillota; Bacilli; Lactobacillales; Streptococcaceae. The record is from RNAcentral.
GGUUAAGUGAAUAAGGGCGCACGGUGGAUGCCUUGGUACUAGGAGCCGAAGAAGGACGGAACUAACACCGAUAUGCUUUGGGGAGCUGUAAGUAAGCUAAGAUCCAAAGAUUUCCGAAUGGGGGAACCCAACACCUUUCAUAGGGUGUUACCAAUGAGUGAAUACAUAGCUCAUUAGGAGGUACACGCAGGGAACUGAAACAUCUCAUUACCUGCAGGAAGAGAAAGAAAAAUCGAUUCCCUGAGUAGCGGCGAGCGAAACGGGAGGAGCCCAAACCAACGAGCUUGCUUGUUGGGGUUGUAGGACUAGAACGUGAGAAGAAAUCAAGAUAGCAGAAGUGGUCUGGAAAGGCCCAUCAAAGAAGGUGACAAUCCUGUACGCGACAUCUUGAUGAACUCUACUAGCAUCCUGAGUACGGCGGGACACGAGGAAUCCCGUCGGAAUCCGCCAGGACCAUCUGGCAAGGCUAAAUACUACCUAGUGACCGAUAGUGAACCAGUACCGUGAGGGAAAGGUGAAAAGAACCCCGGGAGGGGAGUGAAAGAGUACCUGAAACCGUGUGCUUACAAGUAGUCAGAGCCCGUUAAUGGGUGAUGGCGUGCCUUUUGUAGAAUGAACCGGCGAGUUACGUUUACAUGCGAGGUUAAGAUGAAGAGUCGGAGCCGUAGCGAAAGCGAGUCUGAAUAGGGCGCAUGUAGUAUGUGGACGUAGACCCGAAACCAAGUGAUCUACCCAUGUCCAGGUUGAAGGUGCGGUAAAACGCACUGGAGGACCGAACCAGGGCACGUUGAAAAGUGCUUGGAUGAGGUGUGGGUAGCGGAGAAAUUCCAAUCGAACUUGGAGAUAGCUGGUUCUCUCCGAAAUAGCUUUAGGGCUAGCCUCGGAAUCAAGAAUCGUGGAGGUAGAGCACUGUUUGGACUAGGGGCCCAUCUCGGGUUACCGAAUUCAGAUAAACUCCGAAUGCCAUGUAUUUAUAUCCGGGAGUCAGACUGCGAGUGAUAAGAUCCGUAGUCGAAAGGGAAACAGCCCAGACCACCAGCUAAGGUCCCAAAAUAUCUGUUAAGUGGAAAAGGAUGUGGGGUUGCACAGACAACUAGGAUGUUGGCUUAGAAGCAGCCAUCAUUCAAAGAGUGCGUAAUAGCUCACUAGUCGAGUGACCCUGCGCCGAAAAUGUAACGGGGCUAAACAGAUUACCGAAGCUGUGGAUUGGACCUUAUGGUCCAGUGGUAGGAGAGCGUUCUAAGGGCGGUGAAGCAUGAUCGUAAGGACAUGUGGAGCGCUUAGAAGUGAGAAUGCCGGUAUGAGUAGCGAAAGACGGGUGAGAAUCCCGUCCACCGAAUAACUAAGGUUUCCUGGGGAAGGCUCGUCCUCCCAGGGUUAGUCGGGACCUAAGGCGAGGCCGAUAGGCGUAGUCGAUGGACAACAGGUUGAUAUUCCUGUACUUCUAUAAAUCGUUUGAGCAAUGGAGGGACGCAGGAGGCUAAGAAAAGCGUACGACUGGAAGUGUACGCCCAAGCAGUGAGUCGGCUGAUGAGUCAAAUGCUUAUCACACAUGCGACGAGCUGUGACGGGGAGGGAAGUUUAGUACCGAAGUUUCUGAUGUCACACUGCCGAGAAAAGCUUCUAGCAAGAUUUAUAGGACCCGUACCGCAAACCGACACAGGUAGUUGAGGAGAGAAUCCUAAGGUGAGCGAGCGAACUCUCGUUAAGGAACUCGGCAAAAUGACCCCGUAACUUCGGGAGAAGGGGUGCUGGUAGCAAUACCAGCCGCAGUGAAUAGGCCCAGGCGACUGUUUAUCAAAAACACAGGUCUCUGCAAAAUCGAAAGAUGACGUAUAGGGGCUGACGCCUGCCCGGUGCUGGAAGGUUAAGAGGAGAGGUUAGCGCAAGCGAAGCUUUGAAUUGAAGCCCCAGUAAACGGCGGCCGUAACUAUAACGGUCCUAAGGUAGCGAAAUUCCUUGUCGGGUAAGUUCC